This is a long non-coding RNA of Ostrea edulis (European flat oyster), 1524 nucleotides long. RefSeq lists it as uncharacterized. The record is from RefSeq and is a predicted model, not a curated record. The transcript has 2 exons. Lineage: Eukaryota; Metazoa; Mollusca; Bivalvia; Ostreida; Ostreidae.
GGACAACUCACGAGUAUACAGGCCUCACUGUGGGAGGAGUUACACGGACAGCUCACGAGUAUACAGGCCUCACUGUGGGAGGAGUUACACGGACAGCUCACGAGGUCUCACUGUGGGAGGAGUUACACGGAAAAAUCACGAGGUCUCACUGUGGGAGGAGUUACACGGACAACUCACGAGUAUACAGGUCUCACUGUGGGAGGAGUUACACGGACAAAUCACGAGGUCUCACUGUGGGAGGAGUUACACGGACAAAUCACGAACCCUCCACACGAUCCUGAAUAGCCUGAUGUUCUAUUCUUAGUUGAUUGAUCGAUUGAUUGAUCGCCAUCAAUUAUUGCUAAUCUUGUAUUCAAAACAAGUCCUGGUAUUAAAGUACGAUUUUUAUCAAUAUGUUAAAUAAAUACGAGAAUAGUGUUCUAUAUAUUUACAGAAUGCCGCAUCGUGGAAUCCAAACAUGCGCACUAACGCAAAAAAAGCAACAAUGUGGUAUCGUUUGCACUGGAUGUCGCUACUAAUUAACGUAAAGAAAGGGCGCUACUAAUUAACGUAAAGAAAGGGCGCUACUAAUAAACGUUAAGAAAGAUUGACGGAUGAGAUAAAGGGCUUUUAGACAUUUGUAACUGGGAAUGCAGAUUAGAUAAUUAACAGGGAACGAAAGACCCGUUUUACAUACACAGCGAUGAAUGACCCAAUUUUCUAUACAAACGGACGGACGACCUAUCUUACAAACACAGAGGCGAACGGCCCAUGUUACCUACACAGGGACAAAUUACCCAAAUCGUACAUAUACAGGAAUUAAUUACCCAUUUUACUUACACAGUGAUGAAUGACCCAGAUCGUACAUAAACAGGGACAAAUGACCCAAAUUGUACAUAUACAGGAACUAAUUACCCAUUUUACUUACACAGUGAUGAAUAACCCAAAUCGUACACAAACAGGGACACAUGACCCAAAUCUUACAUAAACAGGGACACAUGACCCAAAUCGUACAAACGACCCAUUUUACAUUUACAGGAAUGAAUGACCCAAAUCUUAUAUUUACAGGAAUGAAUGACCCAAAUCUUAAAUAAACAGGGACAAAUGACCCAAAUCGUACAAACACAGGUACAAAUGACCCAUUUUAAAGACACAGAGAAGAGUGACCCAUCUUACAAACAAAGGGAAGAAUGACCCAGUCUUCCAGAGAGACAGACCACGUGAUGCUACGUAGAGAGACGGACCACAUGGUGUUAUGUAUUAGGACACAUCUCCUCGCUGCAUUUUACAACUUCCUUUAGUUGUGUCAAUAAGAAAAAAGUCUCCUCGACAUCUCUUCUAAAUUUACUUCCACUUUGAUUUUAACGUUUUAAUGUAAUGGCAAAAGCAAGGAAUAUAUAAACGGCAGUGAUACAUGGUCUACAGUUAUACCAGCAUUCAAUGAAAGUUUACACUUUACGCAACAUUCAAUGAAAGUUUACACUUUACGCAACAUUCAAUGAAAGUUUACACUUAACGCAACAUUCAAUUAUACUUUACAUUUAA